GAUGGAUCCGCGGUGCAUUAGUUAGUUGGCGGGGUAAAGGCCUACCAAGACAAUGAUGCAUAGCCGAGUUGAGAGACUGAUCGGCCACAUUGGGACUGAGACACGGCCCAAACUCCUACGGGAGGCUGCACUAGGGAAUCUUCCACAAUGGGCGAAAGCCUGAUGGAGCAACGCCGCGUGUGUGAUGAAGGCUUUCGGGUCGUAAAGCACUGUUAUAUGGGAAGAACAGCUAGAGUAGGGAAUGACUUUAGUUUGACGGUACCAUACCAGAAAGGGACGGCUAAAUACGUGCCAGCAGCCGCGGUAAUACGUAGGGCGCGAGCGUUGUCCGGAAUUAUUGGGCGUAAAGAGCUCGUAGGCGGCUGGUCGCGUCUGUCGUGAAAUCCUCUGGCUUAACUGGGGGCUUGCGGUGGGUACGGGCCGGCUUGAGUGCGGUAGGGGAGACUGGAAUUCCUGGUGUAGCGGUGGAAUGCGCAGAUAUCAGGAGGAACACCGGUGGCGAAGGCGGGUCUCUGGGCCGUUACUGACGCUGAGGAGCGAAAGCGUGGGGAGCGAACAGGAUUAGAUACCCUGGUAGUCCACGCCGUAAACGUUGGGCACUAGGGUGUGGGGGGGGCCCUUUUCCGGGUCUUUCCGAGCCGUAGCUAACGCAUUAAAGUGCCCCGCCUGGGGAGUACGGCCGCAAGGCUAAAACUCAAAGGAAAUUGACGGGGGCCCGCACAAGCGGCGGAGCAUGCGGAUUAAUUCGGUGCAACGCGAAGAACCUUACCAAGGCUUGACAUGAGGGCGGUCGCCCCGGAGACGGGGCCUCCCUUUUUUGGGCGCUCUUACAGGUGGUGCAUGGUUGUCGUCAGCUCGUGUCGUGAGAUGUUGGGUUAAGUCCCGCAACGAGCGCAACCCUUGUCCUGUGUUGCCAGCACGUCGUGGUGGGGACUCGCGGGAGACUGCCGGGGUCAACUCGGAGGAAGGUGGGGAUGACGUCAAAUCAUCAUGCCCCUUAUGUCUUGGGCUUCACGCAUGCUACAAUGGCCGGUACAGAGGGCUGCGAUGCCGUGAGGCGGAGCGAAUCCCUUAAAGCCGGUCUCAGUUCGGAUCGGUGUCUGCAACUCGACACCGUGAAGUUGGAGUCGCUAGUAAUCGCAGAUCAGCAACGCUGCGGUGAAUACGUUCUCGGGCCUUGUACACACCGCCCGUCA
This 1196-nucleotide ribosomal RNA is filed under the name uncultured bacterium. Its description in RNAcentral is "bacterial SSU rRNA". It matches the Rfam family "Bacterial small subunit ribosomal RNA", at positions 224 to 1399 of the family's 1533-position model. The record is from RNAcentral.